CCGUUGUUGAAGUCCUCAACCUUCCGCUCGCUCAUGGCUCAGAGGUGGGGUGGACAACAAAAUUGACUUUUAAUGAACAUACAUCAAUAUGCGAAAAGUAGUAUUGGAGAGAGUAUAAGAUGUACCACAAUUCAGAUAUCCUGUGGCCAACACAGCCAGAACUUAAUCAGAUCACUGGAAUUUACUGCAAGUACCUGAAAGAGAGUGGUUACUGAACCUAACAGCAAGAAACUUGUGUACAGAAGCAAAGCAAAGGCAAUUAGCCCAGUUGUGACCAUUUUGUAACUUAGCAUACCGUGGUGGCCUUGAUCAGCGUAAAAGAGAGAAAUCAAUCAGUUAAGAAUGAGGAAAAAUUGAAAUGGUGUUUAGAGUUUAAAGAGAGAGGAGAUAAUGAGAAACUGUCAUCCAAAAAAAAGUUUGGGCCUGGAGUUUCCAAUUCAGAACAUUUUUGUAAAUUAAAAAAAAAUGUCAUGCUUUCAUUAAGAGGAGACGAAAAGAAACAGAUAACCUAGAGUAUUUGCUGUAACAGGACGAUUCUUCCUGCCUCUCAAGGAUGCUCAAAAACAUAUUGAAGAUGUAUAUUGUCCUGAUGAGAACUGGAGUGAGAUGGUGGAGAAAGGAGCCAUCUAAGAUUCAUGCAAUGGAUUUUCAAAUCCAAUGACUGUUUAUGAAAAUAAUUUUGUACCCUCAGCAUCUAUGUUCAAUGCAGCUGAAAUCUUCCCAGAGCGAAGAAAUGCAUCAAAAAAGAAAAAGGAAAUGAAGAAAGAGGGAAGAAAAAAGAAAAAAGAAAAAAGAAAGGAAACAGAUUUUACUUUUAGCUCAUCUUCAGAUUUGCAAGAGAC
RNAcentral lists this long non-coding RNA (842 nucleotides) under Heterocephalus glaber (naked mole-rat). Its description in RNAcentral is "lncRNA (ENSHGLG00100042411.1)". The record is from RNAcentral. Lineage: Eukaryota; Metazoa; Chordata; Mammalia; Rodentia; Bathyergidae.